This 301-nucleotide long non-coding RNA is filed under the name Elaeis guineensis (African oil palm). Its description in RNAcentral is "long non-coding RNA (EGUI_LNC069622)". The record is from RNAcentral. Lineage: Eukaryota; Viridiplantae; Streptophyta; Magnoliopsida; Arecales; Arecaceae.
UAGAGAAUUUAAAAUCUAUCUGAUCUCUCUCUCAAUAUCAAAAAUUCUGCCACUGAACCUAAGUAGGAAGCUCUCCACACUCUCCAGUCUAGUACUCAGAUUAGACAAGAGCUCCAUCAAAGAAGAAAUAUGUGGCAUGAUAGAAAAUUCUGAGAAAAUAUCAGACAAAGAACUCGGUGAAGCCUGGUGAUACUGCAGUUGCUGUUGCACCUGCUAAAGAAUCUGCUCCUAAUACUGCUGAAAUUGGUGAAGCUGUUGAAGAACCUGAUUCUGAAACCACUGCUGCUGAACAGAAAAAAUC